This 1746-nucleotide long non-coding RNA is filed under the name Monodelphis domestica (gray short-tailed opossum). Its description in RNAcentral is "lncRNA (ENSMODG00000041703.1)". Lineage: Eukaryota; Metazoa; Chordata; Mammalia; Didelphimorphia; Didelphidae. The record is from RNAcentral.
GGAAGGUAACUCAGAGGUCUCCACUGCAAACUCAUACCUGAACAGGAAUAUUUUACAACAUUCCUGAUGAGAGGCGAUCCACCCCUUUGUAGACUUGCAGUGAUGAAGAACUCCCUAUCUUCCUAGGCAGUCCCUUUAACUUUUGGACAGCUCUGAUUUGUUAAUUUUUUUUUCCAUUGAUUGAGCUGAAAUCUGUCUCUCAGCAACUUUCACUCACUACACCUAGUUCUGCCUCUGGGGCCAAGCAGAACAAGCCUAAUCCCUCUUCCACAUGACAAGCCUUCAAAUACAUGAACACAGUGAUGAUGUCCCACCCCUCACCCCCUUAUAUCUUCUCUUCUCCAGACUAAACACCUCCAGUUCUUUCUACUGAUCCUUGCACGUUUCCACUGCCUAGGAAACUCUGCCUGGGGCCAUCAUGGCAACUCCUAAAUGUGCUGGGGAUGAACCAGGGACCAAAUGGCAGCUCUACCCACUCCCCAAAGUUCCUCAAGGUGGCUCUCUCUUGAAAAGCUCAAGGCAAGCUGAUCGGCCUUUGCUCGGAGAGGGAAGCCGCUCCCACGGGUCAAUGCUCAGGUUUCCAGCCCUGUUGACUCAUCAGGUCCUACCCUGCCAGGAGCCUUGCUGCCACUGCCCUAAUGCACCUUGGGCUCACCAUCUGUAAAAUGGGGAUAGAUUCGGAAGCCCUCUAGUGUGAGAUGCUUAGGGAGUUAAUACCUAAAUGGACUGGAUGGCUAAGGUAGGGUAAAGUAUCUUGGUUACAGUAGCCCCUACUGUGGGGGUUGGGGAAGGUAGGGGGGGAAGAGGGGCAGGGUCUCUGCUGGCCAAGGAACCUCCACCCACCCUCACCUGGAGAUAGGUUAACUGCUUAUACUUGGGGCAAGGGAUCAACUAGCUGGUUAUGGGAUGGGAAUUAUUCUGACAUUUUCCAGAUGGAGAAAAUAGGGCCUUGAGAGAAAAGAAUAUGUCCCUCCUCUUUCCCCUUCUCAAAAUCUAUCCCUUUACUUAAGAUCCCUCUUUUGUUUUGUUUUGUGUUCUGGAGAUGAUGUGAUUGGUUAGAGAACCAUAAAUCUAUAGCGCUCUGGGACUAAAUAUUCUCAGAUUUUUUCUGGGGCCCAGAGUAAUUAAGUGACUUGCUCAGGGUCACAUAACAUGUGUAAGGCCUAGGGAGUGAACCCAAAUCUUCCUGACUCCAACGGCAUCCUUAGGAAACUGUUCAUUAUCCUCAAAGUCAGUGCUGGGGUGGGGGACUUGAAGCUGUGCAAGUGUUCUGGUGUGAAGGACACUGAGUGGAGAAUGGAGACCAACUUGGGGAGAAGCCCUUUGACUGUGCAGUAUAGUAGGAAGAACACUGGGUUUAGAGUUAGAGGACCUCAUUUCAAAAGUCAGAUCUGCUACCUACCUGUGUGAGGUUAAGGCUGCUUUUUAAGACUUAUUAACUAAGUCAUUAACAGGCUGCUAUCUGAAAUGGUGGCGGGUGUUCCUACACUAUGAAUUCUUUCCAUAUCAGAGUAAGAAACUACAUGAAGAGGCUUCAUGGGCCUUGUAUGAUCUUUCAGAACAGUCUCAUUUUAAUUUAUAUAUCCAAUGAUAAUGCUAUUAACUUAAAAACUUUCUUUUAACAAAAUAUUGUUCUAUAUUUUAAAUAUUGUCUCCAUUUCCCAGUGUAUAUUUCUCCUCUCUCCUUCUCUCAGAGAUCUAUCCCUUAAAGGAAGGAAAUAAAGGGAAAAAGGGUCAGUAAAACCA